CUGAAAUCCUUAGCGUGAAACACU
This 24-nucleotide non-coding RNA is filed under the name Arabidopsis thaliana (thale cress). The record is from RNAcentral. Lineage: Eukaryota; Viridiplantae; Streptophyta; Magnoliopsida; Brassicales; Brassicaceae.